UGAUGUGUUCACUGAAGGACUCUUAUCUCUAACAGGUUAUGAGCCCCGCGCUUUAGCGUGCGGUCAUCCGUUUGCCCGGUGGUGCCUUUUUCUGCUGUGUGCGGACUUAGCUGUAGGCAAGGAUGAAAAUAGAUAAGGAGGAUUUUUAUUUCUCCAUUAGCACCUUUCACCUCUUGAAGGAGCACGUCAUCGGCGUCCUUCAACGUAAAGGACUAGCGAACGCGAUCAGCCCCGUGCAGGCUACGCGGGAUGUAGUGACAGACGAGCAAGACCAGCGAGCUUUGGGCGUUAUCAAGGAAUUCAUCCGCGUCCUGGAGAAGCCCCUGUACGCGCGUCACGCGAAGGCGUACGACCUGUGGCUUGCUUUGGCGGCUAAGUAUGGGCAGCAGACUCGAGCUGCGAAGAGCUUAUUGGUUCAACGGUUGACNCAAUUCAAGAUGGAAUCGAGCGAGACGAUCAGCGAUUACAUCGCGAGGUUCCAAGCGCUUCGACUAGAGUUCGCAGCCAUCGAUAUUAGUUUGGCGGAUGACGAGGCGGUGGACCACGUCUUGAGGGGCCUACCUGAUACGUAUGCCAUGAUCCGCACAGUUAUAGAAAAUACUACCGACGUGGACGACGUCGAGAAGCUGGAGAUGCGGCUACUCGUCGAGGAGCAGAAGAUUGAUACGGAGACCAAGAAGUCGCCCGUGAAGGGAGCCUACAACGUCGCGCGGCAGGCGCCACACAAGAAGAAGGACAACAGGAAGUGCUUCUACUGCAAGGAGCAGGGCCAUUUAGUUGCCAAGUGUCCGAAGCUUAGACAGCCAUAUCCGCCACCACCACCGCCGCCGCCGCCGCCUCCCCCUCCACCACCUCCCCAGCCUUUCAUGCGCCAACGACAACAACAACCGCAAGUGCAGCCGCAGGCCCAGGGCGUGCGGCGGCGACUAGUUGGCGUCAUAAACACGCUUGGGGGAAUGAGACUGGCACCUGGUGAAUGGCUUCUCGACACUGGAGCCGAGGAUCACCUGACCUUCACGCCUGAGGACGUGGAGGGUCUGAAGCCGGUGCGCGAGGGCGAGGGUGUCGUUUUUGAGGUGGCGGAUGGGCGGACGGUUAGCUCGAUUGGUGAGGGCAGGGCGGUUUUCGCCUCUUUUCGAGGGCAGACGGAAUUGUCGGUACCUGUACACGUAGUUCCGGACCUGCAACACCGCCUGUUCUCAGUCAAGGCCCUGAAGAGAUCCUUCCCGGAUCAGGUGGUAGAGGUUGUCCUGUCCGCCGAUUGCUCGUAUAUAGCAAUAGACGGAAUUCCCGCUGUCGAUGUGUUCGAGGAGAACGGGAUGUACAUCGUGCUUGCGCAGCCAGAUGCCGAGUGGAAUAGGGCAUUAUCACUGCAUCGCUUUCCCAAGGAAAAGUUAGACACCUUGCAUCGUCGCAUGGGGCAUGCUAGCCUCACCCGUUUUGAUAGGCCGUUUUUUGACGACCUGGUCCAUUCGGAGCCCACAUGCCGCGAGGAAAGCCUUCGUCCGGAGAGCAAGGUCUGCGAGCCGUGCGUUAUGGGAAAAAUGACCCGCAGCCCCCAUCAUUCAUCGACGCACAAGGGCGAACGCGUGCUCGACCUCGUCCAUAUGGAUCUUUGCGGCCCGAUGCCGGUCACGUCGCUGGGUGGAGCCAACUACUUCGCUACCUUCUACGACGAUUUUAGCAAAUACUCCGAGGUUCGUUGCGUUCGCGCAAAGAGCGAAGUCCCCGCUGCGUUNNNNNNNNNNNNNNNNNNNNNNNNNNNNNNNNNNNNNNNNNNNNNNNNNNCUGAUAGUGAUGAUGACGGUGAAGUGGAUGAGGAGGUCAGUGAAGGAUUGGUUGACGCAGGGCCGUCCAACGCAGGGCCGUCUGACGCAGGGCCGUCAAAUGCAGGACCGUCCAAUGCGAACAAUAAUUUGCCGUUAGCUCUUGGUAGGGAAAAGCGUUCCAAUGCCGGAGUUCCACCCAAACGUUUUGCUUUCCGCGUAGAGAUGGAGGAAGAGUCGGAUGAUGAUGUCGAUAUUCCGGAAUCUUACGAGGAAGCAAUGGCAUCUCCCUAUGCUGAAGUUUGGCGUGCUGCAAUGCUUGAAGAGCUUGAGUCUUUGCGUGCGAAGGGUACUUGGUCCUUAGUGCCGAAGCCCAAGGACAACAGAUCUCUUGACGUUAAGUGGGUUUUCUCAUUGAAGCGUGACAAGCAUGGUGCCAUUGAACGGUUCAAGGCACGCCUAGUAGUGAAAGGUUUUAUGCAACGUGAGGGUGUGGAUUUCCAGGAGGUCUUUGCGCCGGUAAGUCGCCACACUACCUUGCGUACUUUUUUGUCCAUGGUAGCUGGCGCCGAUAUGGAAUUGCACCAACUAGAUGUCAAGACGGCGUUUCUGAAUGGCGAUUUAGAAGAAGAGAUUUAUGUUAAACAACCCCCCGGUUUUGAAGAGGGAGGCCCGGGGAAGCUUGUCUUCUUCAUAAGGCCUUGUAUGGCCUUCGCCAAGCGUCGCGUGCAUGGUAUGACACGUUAUGUGAAGAAUUAGUGUCGAUGGACUUUGUCGCGUCGAGUGCGGACCCUAGUUUAUUUGUUCGCCGUAAACAAGGCGAGGUUGUAUAUCUUUUGGUUUAUGUAGACGACGUUUUGAUUGCGUCUUGGAGCGAGAGAGCCGUUUCAGAAGUAAAGGCGGCUAUCAUGCGGCGGUUUGAGUGCCGCGACUUAGGAGAGGCAAGUUUAUUUUUGGGUCUUACUCUUAAGCGCGAUCGAGCGAACAGGGUAAUUACCGUUUCUCAGGGGCGUAUGGUUAAGGACAUUGUGGGUCUUUAUGGCAUGGCUAAUUCACGGCCGAAGUCUGUACCUAUGAGUCCUGGAACCGUCUUACCUAAUGCUGCAGUGGAAGAUCGGCUGGAUCGAGAGCGUUUCCCGUAUAGCCAGUUAAUUGGCAGUUUGUUGUACGUGUCUGGAUGUACUCGUCCUGACAUUGCACAAGCCGUGGGAGUUUUGGCGCGGGACAUGUCGAAUCCUAGCAGGUCGGACUGGAAAGCGGCGAAGGAGGUAGUACGCUAUUUGGCAGGAACGUCCGAUUACGGAUUACUUCUAGGUGGUGAACGAGCAGAUGAGAGGUUGGUCGGAUAUAGCGAUGCUGACUAUGCGGGUUGUGCUGACUCGCGGCGGUCAACGUCUGGUUAUGUCUUUACUCUUCAUGGUGGUACAGUUAGUUGGGCUAGCAAACUUCAGCGGAGCGUGGCUGCGUCCACUAUGGAGGCUGAGUAUAUGGCUGUUUCGGAAGCUGCUAAGGAGGCUUUAUGGUUGCGACAACUACUUGGCGAUCUCGGCUACGACCUCAAGCCAACGCAGAUCAAUUGCGAUAGUCAGAGCGCAAUUCGGUUGGCGAGCAAUCCGGUUGUUUCGAAGCAAUCGAAGCACAUCUCUGUGCGUUAUCAUUUUGUACGGGAGCAGGUAGCGCUCGGUACGCUUGUGAUGGUAGAUUGCAGGUCGGAAGAUAUGGUAGCUGAUUGCUUAACGAAGCCUUUACCAACUGAGAAGUUUGAGAAGCAUCGUAUAGCGAUGAACGUGUGCAAGUCCUGAGCGCGUGGGAGUGUUGGAAAGUGCUCUUAGGUACACUCAGGCUUGACACUUCGGUAGUUUGAUUAGUUGCCGUUAUCCCAAUACGACAUCGGAUCAGGAUUGGCUACGGUAUGCUUAUAUACUGCUUGCGUAUCCUUUCUCUCUCUCUCCUUGUGUAACGAUAUGAGCGAGUGAUGUGUUCACUGAAGGACUCUUAUCUCUAACAGUAGCGCUUCCGAAAGAACGGCUAAAGCGGCCUUGGACAAUCGGUCUUAACUAACUGAGAAGUAAUGGCAGUGCACGGUGCCGCAAAGGCUUUAGGGCCGGUGUCAUCUUGCACCGCCAUGAAGCCAGCAACUGCUGAUGAACAUCUAGAUGGAGGCGGUAUCAUGGCUACGGGGCCUCGUGCCUUGGCAGCUUUAGCCUUGACUGCCAGAGCGCGCAUUUCCUAGGUCAGUCAAGAGGGGACAGUGGCCCCUAUUGGCUAUCUUGUUUGGGUUGAGAGCUUCCUUAAGCGGCGUAAAAUCAGGCUCAAUGCGCAAACUCGCGUGAUGGAGCCUUGACUCAUGAGACUGUGCGCGCGUGUGAUGCAUCCUUCCCGCGGGAAGGAGAGUGCGGCUCUUGGCUGCUUAGGAGGGGGCAGAGGCCCCACGCACCCCUUUCCCAUCCGCGGGAGAGAGCUUAGGCGGUCUUUCCGUUAGGGCUGGGCAGCUGGCCCUGCCCAGUGUCACGCCCCGGUUAGCUACUUGUAACUUUCAAGGUAGCAUCCUGGAUGUAUUACGGCAUUUUUGACAUCGGAACGUUGGUGCAUUUUUUGUAACCAUGGUGCAAGACCUUUACAUACACAUGUGUAUGGGUUGUGUGUAAAUAUAGGCACAUUAAGUAUGGUCCUGCAACAAAAGUAUCCCUGAUUCGCCGAGAGGUAACAGGUAACUGGAGUUACACACUUCGCAGCGUCACUGCUAUGCAGCUACCAAGGAUGUGCACGGUGUGAGGAGGAGCUGCGUUUGAUUCAGGUUCAAACUGAGAGAGCAGUGGCUUUACAUUACACCUGUCGGGUGCAGCUGCUGGCCAAUGCUGCCAUUAAGGCCUCA
RNAcentral lists this long non-coding RNA (4641 nucleotides) under Volvox carteri. RNAcentral describes it as "long non-coding RNA (VCAR_LNC002624)". Lineage: Eukaryota; Viridiplantae; Chlorophyta; Chlorophyceae; Chlamydomonadales; Volvocaceae. The record is from RNAcentral.